RNAcentral lists this ribosomal RNA (468 nucleotides) under uncultured bacterium. RNAcentral's name for it is "partial 16S ribosomal RNA". It matches the Rfam family "Bacterial small subunit ribosomal RNA", at positions 28 to 507 of the family's 1533-position model. The record is from RNAcentral.
GACGAACGCUGGCGGCGUGCUUAACACACGCAAGUCGAACGGAAAGGCCCUGCUUUUGUGGGGUGCUCGAGUGGCGAACGGGUGAGUAACACGUGAGUAACCUGCCCUUGACUUUGGGAUAACUUCAGGAAACUGGGGCUAAUACCGGAUAGGAGCUCCUGCUGCAUGGUGGGGGUUGGAAAGUUUCGGCGGUUGGGGAUGGACUCACGGCUUAUCAGCUUGUUGGUGGGGUAGUGGCUUACCAAGGCUUUGACGGGUAGCCGGCCUGAGAGGGUGACCGGCCACAUUGGGACUGAGAUACGGCCCAGACUCCUACGGGAGGCAGCAGUGGGGAAUAUUGCACAAUGGGCGGAAGCCUGAUGCAGCAACGCCGCGUGCGGGAUGACGGCCUUCGGGUUGUAAACCGCUUUCGCCUGUGACGAAGCGUGAGUGACGGUAAUGGGUAAAGAAGCACCGGCUAACUACGUG